AUGGAGAGUUUGAUCCUGGCUCAGGACGAACGCUGGCGGCGUGCUUAACACAUGCAAGUCGAACGGAAAGGCCCUGCUUUUGUGGGGUGCUCGAGUGGCGAACGGGUGAGUAACACGUGAGUAACCUGCCCUUGACUUUGGGAUAACUUCAGGAAACUGGGGCUAAUACCGGAUAGGAGCUCCUGCUGCAUGGUGGGGGUUGGAAAGUUUCGGCGGUUGGGGAUGGACUCGCGGCUUAUCAGCUUGUUGGUGGGGUAGUGGCUUACCAAGGCUUUGACGGGUAGCCGGCCUGAGAGGGUGACCGGCCACAUUGGGACUGAGAUACGGCCCAGACUCCUACGGGAGGCAGCAGUGGGGAAUAUUGCACAAUGGAGGAAACUCUGAUGCAGCCAUGCCGCGUGUGUGAAGAAGGCCUUCGGGUUGUAAAGCACUUUCAGUUGUGAGGAAAGCUUGUUGGUUAAUACCCAACAGGUAUGACGUUAGCAACAGAAGAAGGACCGGCUAACUCCGUGCCAGCAGCCGCGGUAAUACGGAGGAUGCAAGUGUUAUCCGAAAUUAUUGGGCGUAAAGAGUCUGUAGGUGGCUUUCAAAGUCUGAUGUUAAAUGUCAGGGCUUAACCCUGAACCUGCAUUAGAAACUAGUAAGCUUGAGUAGAGUCGAAGUAGAAGGAAUUUCCAGUGAAGCGGUGAAAUGCGUAGAUAUUGGAAGGAACACCAAUGGCGAAAGCAUUCUACUAGGCUCUUACUGACACUGAGAGACGAAAGCGAGGGUAGCAAAUGGGAUUAGAUACCCCAGUAGUCCUCGCUGUAAACGAUGGAUACUAAACAUUGCGUGCAUCGAUCCGCGUGGUGUUAUAGCUAACGCGUUAAGUAUCCCGCCUGGGGAGUACG
Molecule: ribosomal RNA, 890 nt
Filed under: uncultured eukaryote
Lineage: Eukaryota
Description: partial Bacterial small subunit ribosomal RNA
Rfam family: Bacterial small subunit ribosomal RNA
Source: RNAcentral